CACACACACACAGCCUGACGCCCCUGUACAAAGUAUUUCUGUGGAAUUACUGAUCUGAAAAUACAAACCCAGUUGUGUUUGCUGUGUGACAUUAAAAGUGAAGUCUGGCAGCUGCUCCAGCGUUGCAGGGUUGCAGAUGACGAUGGGCUCUUUGCCGCCGGCUCCGUUACUUGCAGCUUCCCCGUGCAGAGCCUGAGCCACGGCCCUGGGCGGAGUUAUCGCCUUGGUCCAGUCGUGGGCAAUGUACUGGUGGUACGGAUCAUGAGAGCUCUCCAGCUUCUUGGAGCGAAUGUAGCUGAGCAUGAUGCCGAAUGUGAAGAAGCUGAACAUGCCAACCACCAGGAUGAUAUACAUCAUGCCCUGAGACUGAGCGUGGGCCCGGGCUCCAGCCUGCGCAGCCGGCUGGGUAGUGUAGUUCUGAGGUAUCUGUGGAGACAGUAUACUGGUGCUGUUGAGGCAGUGCUGCAGGAAGGAGAGGAGGAGCGACUGCAGCUCGGUGGUGUUGAUGUGUGACAUUGCUAACCUCUGCUGGACGCUCGGCAAACUGCAACUGAGGAGGAAGAGGAGAUGUAAGAAAAAGAUUCAUGUCAAAGUAAAGAUCACCGUACUUUAUUUCUACAUAAAUGACACAGUAUUUCACUAUUGCAUUAGGUUGCUUAAUCAAUAACUGAAUUAUUCCGGCUAAGCUGCCUAAGCACCGAAAGAGGCAACAGACAAAUAAGAAAAAGAUGAUUUCUGAGUUGCAGAUCACUACGCUCACAAGUUGCUGAAAGAUUUGACAUGUUUUCCUUCAAAAUAGACAUUGAUAGAACGAGUGCCUAUUAAGACAACAGGAAAAAAAGAUGGAGGGGCCAAGUGAGAAGCAUAACAAUCAAGAAUGGGACAGUCUCAGAGUGUGAGAAAAUGAACCACAUCUCACAGUGAUUUUAAAUAAAACUCAUUUAUCCAGAAUUAAUAAAUGAGUAUUGAGUGA
Perca flavescens (yellow perch) is the source of this 973-nucleotide long non-coding RNA. RefSeq lists it as uncharacterized. The transcript has 2 exons. NCBI's taxonomy places the organism in Eukaryota, Metazoa, Chordata, Actinopteri, Perciformes, Percidae. The record is from RefSeq and is a predicted model, not a curated record.